GGUUAUAUUGAAUACAUACAGGGGUUAUACUUAAUACAUCCAGUGGUUAUAUUCAAUACAUCCAGGGUUUAUAUUUAAUAAUAUACAGGGGUUAUAUUGAAUACAUACAGGGGUUAUACUUAAUACAUCCAGUGGUUAUAUUCAAUACAUCCAGGGUUUAUAUUUAAUAAUAUACAGAGGUUAUAUUGAAUACAUACAGGGGUUAUACUUAAUACAUCCAGUGGUUAUAUUCAAUACAUCCAGGGUUUAUAUUUAAUAAUAUACAGGGUUAUAUUUAAUACAUCCAGGGUUAUGUUUAAUAUAUACAGGGGUUAUAUUGAAUACAUACAGGGGUUAUACUUAAUACAUCCAGUGGUUAUAUUCAAUACAUCAGGGUUUAUAUUUAAUAAUAUACAGGGUUAUAUUGAAUACAUACAGGGUUAUACUUAAUACAUCCAGUGGUUAUAUUCAAUACAUCCAGGGUUUAUAUUUAAUAAUAUACAGAGGUUAUAUUGAAUACAUACAGGGGUUAUACUUAAUACAUCCAGUGGUUAUAUUCAAUACAUCCAGGGUUUAUAUUUAAUAAUAUACAGGGGUUAUAUUUAAUACAUCCAGGGGUUAUGUUUAAUAUAUACAGGGGUUAUAUUUACUACAUACAGGGGUUAUAUUUAAUGAUAUACAGGGGUUAUAUUUAAUACAUCCAGGGUGUUAUUUAAUACAUACAGGGGUGUUAUUUAAUACAUACAGGGGUUAUAUUUAGCACAUACAGGGGUUAUAUGUAAUACAUACAGUUUUGUAUUUGAUACAUGCAGGAGUUAUAUUGGAUACAUUAUGUUAAAUAUGUACAAAGGUUGUAUUUAAUGCAUACAGGGUUUAUACUUGACACAAACAGGGUUUAUACUUAUCCUGUUAUGUUGGAACAUGAUGUAUUUACAAACCCACAAAGUACGUAUGUAUAGUGUACACUGUUAAACUGUAGAAGUGAAGUGUUUGCAUAUAUCCUCAUGGACAUUGUUAUGCAGAAUGAUAUAUUUAUGCCAAAAUAUGAUAGCAGCAUUUCCAAUAAUAUUUUGUUUCGUCAAUCAUAUUUUAAUUAUUUUUACAAGUUAAAUGUGAUGCACCCGACAGGCAAACUGCAAUCUCAUUAAAGACAGUUUACUGUAGCAUGUGACUCAUUAAAAUUGGUUUUAAGCACUUGUUGGUUUUAAUGAGUAUGAGCGAACUGUCAGUUGGAUGGACAAGUGAAAUGUAAUUUUCACUAGCACUCCCAUAUUUGGGUGUGUAGAAUGUCACAUGACCAGUCAGAGUUAGAGCAUAUUUAUCAGUUACAGAAUAUCUAAAUUUUAAUGUAGAUUUGACACAAUAAAUACAGGUAUCACCCACCUUUAAGCCAUAUAUAUAUAUAUAUAGAGAGAAUCGAGAGAGAGAGAGAGAUAGAUAUAUAUAUAUAGAG
Haliotis rubra (blacklip abalone) is the source of this 1432-nucleotide long non-coding RNA. RefSeq lists it as uncharacterized. The record is from RefSeq and is a predicted model, not a curated record. The transcript is spliced from 3 exons. NCBI's taxonomy places the organism in Eukaryota, Metazoa, Mollusca, Gastropoda, Lepetellida, Haliotidae.